This 413-nucleotide ribosomal RNA is filed under the name Pseudomonas sp. RS03. Its description in RNAcentral is "bacterial SSU rRNA". It matches the Rfam family "Bacterial small subunit ribosomal RNA", at positions 105 to 514 of the family's 1533-position model. Lineage: Bacteria; Pseudomonadati; Pseudomonadota; Gammaproteobacteria; Pseudomonadales; Pseudomonadaceae. The record is from RNAcentral.
GGGGAGUAAUGCCUAGGAAUCUGCCUGGUAGUGGGGGUCCACGUUUCGAAAGGAACGCUAAUACCGCAUACGUCCUACGGGAGAAAGUGGGGGAUCUUCGGACCUCACGCUAUCAGAUGAGCCUAGGUCGGAUUAGCUAGUUGGUGAGGUAAAGGCUCACCAAGGCGACGAUCCGUAACUGGUCUGAGAGGAUGAUCAGUCACACUGGAACUGAGACACGGUCCAGACUCCUACGGGAGGCAGCAGUGGGGAAUAUUGGACAAUGGGCGAAAGCCUGAUCCAGCCAUGCCGCGUGUGUGAAGAAGGUCUUCGGAUUGUAAAGCACUUUAAGUUGGGAGGAAGGGCAGUAAGUUAAUACCUUGCUGUUUUGACGUUACCGACAGAAUAAGCACCGGCUAACUUCGUGCCAGCAG